AUAUCAAUAAGCGGUGGAAAAGAAACUAACAAGGAUUCCCUCAGUAACGGCGAGUGAAGCGGGAAGAGCUCAAAUUUAAAAUCUGGCGUAAAAGCCCGAAUUGUAGUCUAAAGAGGCGUUAUCGGACUCUAGUUUAUCGUACAAGUUUCCUGGAAUGGAACAUCACAGAGGGUGAGAAUCCCGUCUGGACGAUGAACUAGUGGCCAUAUGAGACGUUCUCAAAGAGUCGAGUUGUUUGGGAUUGCAGCUCAAAAUGGGAGGUAAAUGCCAUCUAAAGCUAAAUAUUGGCGAGAGACCGAUAGCGCACAAGUA
Molecule: ribosomal RNA, 312 nt
Filed under: uncultured eukaryote
Lineage: Eukaryota
Description: partial large subunit ribosomal RNA
Rfam family: Eukaryotic large subunit ribosomal RNA
Source: RNAcentral